UAAGGCUGCAUGACCGAAAGUCAUGUCUGGGUCAACAAUUGGUCAGUAUUUGUAGGAAGACUUCACAUUAUAUUUCAUUUUCAGCAUUAUUUAUUUUUCUAACAACAAUUAACAUUUUAUCGCCGGACCCCGAAAAGUGGGGAGGAUGUCCUGGGACCAUCACAAAUACAGCAGGCCAGGUCCCCCACCAUGGCUGAGAGUUCAUUCUCUUCAAGUGAUAAUGCACCAGAAGAGGAGUACCACGCUCCUUCUAGGCAGCUAUGUUCAGUCUCAAGACCUGAGAAGCACAAGGUUCCAUCUCCUUCAAAAAGCAAGAAAGAAAACUAGAAAGCAGGUUUUCCCUGCUACAUUUUCCUCGAAACAUCCUCCAGGACCCCAAGUAGACACCACAACAAGUAGACAUUGUAAAGAACACAAAUCAAAAUGCAGAAAGGAUACUAGCAGGCAGAAAGAAUGGCAUGUCAAUGGCAAUUUUUGACGGUCUCUACGGAGGCUGAUAUUUAUGUGAAAGUGUAACAUUGAUUAUGUCUUUAAAGCCUUAGUUCUGUAUUUCUGUGGUUAUGACAACGGUUGAUGUUUUGAGCCUGUAAAACUUGCUUGCUGAAAUCUUGACGUUGUGUGGAUUUCCCUUAAGAACAGUAUCACUAAAUUGCACAUCACCCAAGACUCACCCCCAAAACCCAGUGAACUUUUGUCAUCCUGUUUCCAUUAAGUUUAUCAAUAGUAAAAGCAGAAACAAAGGUGGUCCCAAACAUUCUUGAACGUUUAACAGACAUUUAACUAUCAAGGUAUUUUGCAAAGCCCAAAUCAAUGUUUUUUAAUGUCCUUGGUGUUGGCCGAAAUCUAUGCAUUUUGAACCUCCUUAGUAAAUAUGAUUACGCCCUUAG
This is a long non-coding RNA of Cyprinodon variegatus (sheepshead minnow), 887 nucleotides long. RefSeq lists it as uncharacterized. The record is from RefSeq and is a predicted model, not a curated record. NCBI's taxonomy places the organism in Eukaryota, Metazoa, Chordata, Actinopteri, Cyprinodontiformes, Cyprinodontidae. The transcript is spliced from 3 exons.